CCCCCAUGCCACCUGCUCCUUGGCCACCACAUUACAAGCUCAUGUGCUGUAAACUAAAGCACUAAGCUCCUGGGUAAGGUUGUCUGUGAGCUGAAGGGAGGGUGAUUCUUUGCCAGGCUCAGCACCAGCCAUCCUGGGAGACAGCACCCACCCUUCCUUCCUUCUGUACGGUUAAGCAUAAGUCCAGCUAGUCCUGAGGCAAGAAUACGCCACAAGGAGAGUCCAAGGUCACCCCAGGAGGUCCAGCCCAGGCGUGGGCAUUCCUCAUCCAAAGAGCGCUGAAAGGAUGCUCCCCGGGCCUGGGUGCAGAGUCAGCUCUGCUCAAAGUGACCCCUGAUAGUUCACAACCAUCUGAGGCCCCAGAGGAAACCUCCGGCUCAGCACCAAAAACGAAGUGGCAUUUAAGUCCGUCAGACCCCACGUGUUAGGAACAGACUAGGUCCUCCUUCCUACUGGCCUCCUCUUUCCUACACUGUGUGACUCUCUUUGCUCUCACAGACCUGGGGGCCCCAAGGGCUCCGCACACUACGCUGCUGGGGGCUGCAUUCGGGGAGGCCUGUGCACACCUUGCCUCUCAUCCAGGGGUAUCUGGAGCUCAUCCAGCCAUCAGCUUCUCCAGGGAACGUGCUAUGCCUUUGGCUCCAUAGCCCCAUACGACGGCUCACCACCGGCACACACGCCAGACCUUCAGACAUACUUAGCACUUGACCACACAGCUGCAGCUCUUCGACUUGGCUCCUGGCAGGCGGGGACCUCUUAUCUCUGCAUUUCUAUACAACCUAGUGUCAGCUCGGACACGGGGUAGGUACGUGCUCACUGUUGCUCGUUUGACUUGCUCAGUUUGAGGAAAUAACUCUGUAAAUGGUUCAACAUUGACGUAAUGGACACAGACAAGACCAACUGAUGCAUUUGAAAUUUAUACCAAUGGACAUACAAUGGCAGAUGCUGUGGAUUCAUGCACUGAUGAAAACUCCACCUUCAAGAAGCUGGUAACCUAUUUAGAAAUUAUACUUUUCCAGCAGUCCUGCUCCUCAGCAAACUGGAGAAAACUCUAAUUCAAAAGGACAUAUUUGCCUCAAUGUUCAUUGCAGCACUAUUUACAAAGGCCAAGAUUUGGAGGCAACCUAAGUGUCCAUCAAAAGAUGAAUGGAUAAGAUGUGGUAUCUACCACCGUGUAUACACAUGUAUACACACACACAAAAUAGAAUAUUACUCAGCCGUAAAACAGAAUGACAUAAUACCAUUUGCAGUAACACGGAUAAACCUAGAGAUUAUGACACUAAGUGAAGCAGGUCCGGCCAAGAAAGACAAAUAUCAUGUCAUAUCACUUAUAUGUGGAAUCUAAAAGAGGGAUACAAAUGAAUUUAUUUACAAAACAGAAACAGACCCACAGACUUAGAAAGCAAACUGAUGGCUACCAAAUGGGAAAGUGGGGGAGCGGGGAGGAGAAUUAGCAGUUUGAGAUUAGCAGAUACAGACUAUUUAAAAUAGAUAAACAGCAAGGUCCGACUGCGUAGCACAGGGAACUAUAGUCAAUAUCUUAAAAUAAACUAUAAUGGAAAAUUAUCUGAAAGUUUCAUAUGUAUAAACAAACAUAUAUAUCUGAGAGAGAUAUAUAGUUAUAUAUAUAACUAAAUCACUUGGCUCUAUAGCAGAAACUAACACAACAUUAUAAAUCAACUAUACUUCGAUUUAAAAAAAAAUUUUUUUAGGGAGUUCCUAUCGUGGUGCAGUGGAAAUGAAUCCGACUAGGAACCAUGAGGUUGCGGGUUUGAUUCCUGGCCUUGCUCAGUGGGUUAAGGAUCUGGUGUUGCCGUGAUCUGCGGUGUAGGUCGCAGACACAGCUCAGAUCUGGCGUUGCUGUGGCUGUGGGGUAGGCCGGCAGCUAGAGCUCUGAUUAGACCCCUAGCCUGGGAACCUCCAUGUGCCUUGGGUGCGGCCUUAAAAAGACAAAAUAAUAAUAAUAUAAAUUUUUUUAAAGUUUUAAUUUUUUAAUUAGACUUUUUAUGAUCCUUCAUGAACAAAGAUGAUCCUUAUGGAGAAGACAUGGCAUUUAGGCUGUUUUCCCAGGAAAAGGGCGUAUCUUCCUGAGAAAUCAUUCCUUCAUUCCCACAUCCUCCUCUGCGUCAGGCUGGGUACUGAAAUUAAACAGGCAGAGGUGGGCCCUGGGCCUGGACGGCUCAGAGACCAGUGGCGCCAAAGCUAUGUCCACAACGAAGGCAAUGGCCUGGGAUGGGUGCUGCUGAGAAGUAUGGCCUGGGCUCUGGAGUGAGGAGGGAGCAAGUGAAUUCCUCCUGGGCUCAGGAAGGGAAGACGAAGCUUGAGAAGGUCCCCAGAGGAGGGGCCGUUUGAAGGCUGGACGGGUCCAGACGGACAAGUGUUCCAGGUCUCGGGGUAUCCCCAAAGGCAUGACAACCCGGCAGUGCUCUGAAAAUGGAACUGUCUGCCCUGCUCCUGCUGCGGGUGACGGCUUGAUGACAGCCCAAGGUCAGGUGACACCUUUGGCCAGGAAAUGGAGGCCUUUGCUUCUCCCAAAUUAGUCCGUUUGUCUCAAGGCCUCUUCCUGUCUGAAAACCGCUGCCUGGAUCCACUUCCGCUAACAGUCCCAGUGGUUAGAGUUGGGUGAACAGGCUUUCUGGCCCACAAGGCAGACCUCGUAGCUGAAAA
Molecule: long non-coding RNA, 2667 nt
Filed under: Sus scrofa (pig)
Lineage: Eukaryota; Metazoa; Chordata; Mammalia; Artiodactyla; Suidae
Description: lncRNA (ENSSSCG00005014567.1)
Source: RNAcentral